Hipposideros armiger (great roundleaf bat) is the source of this 1997-nucleotide long non-coding RNA. RefSeq lists it as uncharacterized. NCBI's taxonomy places the organism in Eukaryota, Metazoa, Chordata, Mammalia, Chiroptera, Hipposideridae. The record is from RefSeq and is a predicted model, not a curated record. The transcript is spliced from 5 exons.
CCGUGGCUUCCGGCUGCUCCUGCAUCCGGGGGAAAGCUGCCAUUCCAGCUCUUGACCUGGAGCCAGGCAACUCAGUCCCCCCACCCCCAUGUCCCUGUCGCCUCUCCAGCUGCUGCCCCAGCACUGGAACUCUGAGCCAGCGAUUCCGACGGCCCCAAAAUUAAGGUGCGUCUUAUACAUGGGAGCGUCUUGUACAUGGGGAAAUACGACUUCAGACCAGUGGGCUGUUCAAGACCAAAGACUCCUCAGAGGCUCUACUCUGGAUUAGCACCCAUGAUCCUGCUAAGGCUGCAAGUCUGGAAGGUUCCCAGUGGAUGAAAACUACCCCCAUGUUACACAGCAAGCUAGAUAACCAAUAGGAAGGGAGAAUUUGGAUGGUGCACCGUGGCUUUGAAAGGCUCCGGAAACCCUAGCAAAAGGAGCUGAACCAAGAACACUGAGACUGGGAAAUAAAACCCUGUUUGUUCACAGAGUGCUCCAUCUCCAAGACUCCACGGCUCCCUGACUGCGCCCCUCACAUGGGGCCACCUGUACAAGCGCGAGCCCCUGAGCCUCUGGGGGCUAUUUGGCCUCUGCCUUCCAGUCCCCCUGCCAGCAUGCGUUCUGGGCUGCGCUACACCCGGGGCUGACUUUCUGAAGUGCCCACCUGUCCAUUAGCAAUCGCAGGGAGACUCCCAACUCAUUUUAUAGAGGCGACUGCACAGCAGUGGGCGUUAAUGACUUUGGAGUGCGCUGUCUUUGACAAUAAGCCGGAAUCUUGACUAUGCAAUUGACUGCAACCACACAAAUUGCCAUUUAGAAGGAAUCUGAAACCUACACACUUGUGUACAUGCGCACAGCGAGCUGCACUCUUCCCAUACGAUCAUGGUGGCUGACAUUCUACCCAAUUUCAGUGAGCAAAUUUGACUAAAACGGCUGCGUAAUACAUUCUGCGUUAACGUCAGUUCUUGAAAAAGCCCAAGGAUUAAAAGUUAAUUCCAUCCUUUUAAUUCAAGGGACAUAUAAAUGGCAUUAUGGGGAGCGCCAACUCCUCUUUUUAUCAGUCCUUUCAUGCUGCCUCCUCGCUAAUUCUUGGUUGUUCAAAUGCUACCUACAUAAUAAAAGCUUUGAGUUAAUUUACUAAGAUUUUACACCAGUGCAAAUGAAAGAAAGGAAAGUGCUAAACAAGGCAAUUAGCACUCUGUUUAGUGCACUCCCAAAAUAAAUGUAGGCAAUUUACAAUUUGGCAAAUGGCACUCUACCCACAUCCAGCUCAUUUAUGCCUAAGGGGGUGGCACAGUUCAUUAGGGGAAAAAGUGUUUAUAUAUAUUAUGCUAUUGAGGCCCAACCCAUCUUGUACGCUAGCAACAGAUGCGACUCCUCCUGAGGUUUAUUAGUGUUUCCUGCAGAAAAAUGCCAAACUAUUACGCUUUCGAAUAAAUGGCCCAAAAAGAAUGCCUCUUGCUACCGAGUAUGAGUGGCUAGCUUUACAAGAUGGGGGUGUGGAGAUGCGUGGCAGGGUUGGUUUGCAAAACCUAUAGCCGAGUUGGAGCCUCCUCUCCACUUGAGAGAAGUGAUUCCCAGUAUAAUUUUGGAGCAUACAUCUCCACUCUGACGCCACUUGCAGACAUCCGCUGGAAUUGUUCAUUUGAAGUACUGCUGACUGUUUCCUAAUUGACACAUCGGUUACUCCAAGCCUUUCUUGUUUAUUCUUGUAAGCCUCUUAUUAGUGCAAAAAUAAUAGAGGCUGUUAAUGCAGAAUUACAACUGACAUUGAUAUUUAAGAUGCGAAAAUGAUAAAGGUUAAAUGUGUUUAUACUGCUUUUGUACAAAGAGCUUUACAAAAUAGUUCGGAAACAGAACGCUGGGCCAAACAUGGAGUAAUUGUGCCCAAAUCCUAGCCUCUCAUUCUUUGGGAUUUACUUUUCACUUUGACAUAUUACUGUCAUCUGCACUUUGGAUUUCUGCUGGCAAGGAAAUAUGAAAAAUUGACACCUGAAGAAGGGAAGGUGCAAUAA